AUAUCCAUUUCCAAAAAAACUACAUAAAAAAGGAACAAGUUAUGUGAUAUGAUAAAGAAAUAAAACACUCAUACAGGAAGAAGAAGAGAUCAAUGUUUUCAAUUUCAAUCCAACCUCAUCAUAAAGAAAAUAUGUAUUUACUGAUCACAUCCCUUUAUGCUAGACUCAUGUGAAGAUCAAACGAUGAUGCAUUCAUGUCUACAUUUUCUUUCAAAUCUUCAAGCAACUUUUCUCUCAACGCAUCGAUCCAUAUAACUCCCAUUGAUGUGUUAGGUACUUUAUAUAAUUGUUCUGAUUUGUUAGCUUCAAGUUGUUCCUUUUGUUUUCUCAUACUCUUUAUUUCUUCUACAGUUGUACCUAACUAUUAAAAAACAAAAAAAAAAUCUUAGUACAAGUUUUAAAUUAUGUGAAGUGCAUCAAAAACUUAUAAUUAUGCUUUAAACUAUUUAGACUUACAUGUCAUAGGAUGAUUUGCGUUGACUUCAAGCUAAUGUCAACCAUACCCAAUUUUCUAUUGAUCCUUUUCUUUGAUUUGUUCGGUCUGUUGCCCCUAUUUUGGUGAAGUCCACCGACUUUAUAUUUUACUUGUCCAACGAUUGAAUCCUAAUAGUCAAUAAAUUAAAAAAAAAAUUACUAGGUAUACAUUCAUUAACUACUUCAAUAAUACAUUCAUUCAUUAGAAUCAAGAAAACUUACCUACAUUCCCAAUAGUGUUGGAUGUUGCUUGUUUCGACAAACUUUCAUAUAUCUCCUCCUCAUUAAUUGAGUUUAUGACAUUGUCAAUUAUAUCAUCUGGAUCUUCGACAUUCUAUUUCAUGACAUAAGAUUAUCAAAUAUCAUCGACUAACAAGAUCAUGUUGUAUUUUAUUACCUCGUGGCUUGUGUUUCUUCCGCCCUCUCUUUUUUAUUCUUUGUCUUCAUUAGGUUGUUCUAUUUACUGGUUCAUUAGAUUAGAAGUUGCUAUCUAGUGUUGUUUAUUUUCAUCCCCUUCAUUUUCUUCACAUAUUUUUUUGGUUGAAAUUUGUCCACCCCACAAUAUGUAUCAGCAUCUAGAUUUUUUUUCAUUCUUGUCUUUUUCUUCUUUUAUACUAUCAAGCCUCCUUUAAAUUUCAGUAACCGCCUGUUUAGAUUAUUUCAAAGGCAAUAGUAUAUAAAUAUCUUUAUUGAGUAAUAUAUGUAAUAGAACAUGUAAUUAAAAUGUUAUUAUACUACAUACCAUAAAUUGUUGGCCGUUAACCUGUUCCUUUACAUGUCAUUCUAUUUUUUCCAUCUUAUUCACCAUUAGAUUCAUUUUCUCCAUCAAUAGUUCCAUUUUCUCUUUCAAUAAGGCUUGAGUCCUCAUCAGAACACGUUGGUUUUUAUUCAACAUUUUAUUUAUCGCUUGAUUUUUGUCUAUUCUUGCUAGCAUUUCCAAUACAAGAUCAUUGUCAACUAUGUAGUGUCCCCCCUCUAUUAAUUGGUAGGUCCACUACAUUUGACUCUAAUAUACUUUUCUGAAGUUCUGCUUCAACUUCAAUGAUGAUUUUUUUUUCUUCUUCCAAGAAUGGUUCAAACCAUGGCAUUGUCAUUUCUUCUUUUGUUGCUAGAAGUGGAUAUAUUUCAAGCUAUAGGAUAACAAACAUACAAAAAAUUCAGAUUAUUGUGUACUAUUUAAAGGAUGUUGAUUAUUAAAAAAAAAUUGUCGUGUAGUACUUAAAAGAUAUAACCUUGGGUGAUUGAAAUACUUUCUUCUGCAAGUCCGUCCAUUUUGGUUGGCUAUCAGUUGCCCAAUUUAUUAUUCUUGGGAUCUUCAUUCAGACUCUUUUUGCAAAACAGUUUUGUCGUGAGGUCAAAGUGAGGAUUACUUCAUAAGCCUAUGCAACGAUUGGAAAGACAAAAUCGCCCAAUAUCAUGCCUGUAGCACCCUUGCUAGAUGUUGCUUUGUACAUUGCAUCAACUAAAAGGUCAAAGGCUAACCUACCCAAGGAUAUGUUCUAAAAAGUUCUUCAUCAUCAACCAUCAACACAUGGUCAAUGUCUACAUAUACACUAUCCUGUUUAGGUAAAAGGAAACUCUUCAAAAACUAUAAUUGAGUCAUUUUUAACCUAUCACUAUCAGUCAACCUUGAACCCUACAUUGAUAUAUAUCCUCAUUAGUUUGCUUUCUCCAUCAAAAUACAUGUCUUUUAUAUAACCCCCCUCCCCCCUCUCAAUAUCAUCUUUGGUUAUCUUUGGUAAAGGUCCACAAUUAGGCCCCGUUAUUAAAGCAAAUUCUCUAAGACCGAAUCUUAUGACUCUUCCUCCUAUUAAGAAGUUUAAUUCUUUGGAAGAUUUUGAUUUGUAUUGUUUUUGUAUCAGAUGCAUCAAUAAUUGUGAGGAUUGAUUGGUAAUCGCAAAGUCAAGGAAGUGUCCAAAAGGUGUUUCCCUAAAUUUUUCUAAGAGAUUAUCACCUAGUUUUUUCUUAAUUUUUUCAAUUACUUCUAACUUAGUUUCAAGGUUUAUUCUCAAUAGUCCAUUUCGCUUUUGGAUUGGCAUAAGGUAUAAUCCAUCCUAAGACAAUAAAAAUACAUAAUGAAUAUGCAACCAGUCACAACACAAAUAUAUGCACUUCAAAUAAUUAAUCUAUAAUUAUGCGACCAGUUACAACACAAACAAAUUUGGUAUGCAACUAGUCACAACACAAAUAUAUGCAGUUCUUCUAUUUAUACAGCCAGUCACAAAAAAAUAUAUGCAAUUCAAUAAUAAUCUAUAAUUAUGCAGUUAUUCACAACAUAAAAACAUAUUCAGUUUUUUAUUUAGCCAACACAAAUACAUGCAGUAAAGAAUAAUUAAUCUACAAUUAUUUAGCCAAGAAAUAUAUAAAGAAGGCAUUUGUAUGUAUUACAAACCUCACUUCUUUCUCCAGUACUAACAACUUUUUCUGAAGCAUGUUUAGUCUUCCUUGAUCUUGCCUUCAAGGUUGAACAUUGUAUUAACUUUUACACACAUCCAUUUUAUAAAGAAUAAAAAGAAACGCUACCUUUUUUUUCUUCAACAAUUGGUGUCUUAGGUUGUUUUGAAGUAAUUUCUUCGUGGCUUUCUGAGUACUGUUCACAAAUCUCUUCUCUUUCUUUUUGUUCUUUCUCUUAUGUAUUAUCUUCAAUAUAUUCAACCUUGUUACUGCGAUCCUGCAUUUUAAAUAAUUUCAUUUAAAUUAUAUUAUACUGAAAAUAUUGAUAGAACUAAGACAUGCAAAAAAGAAUCGAAUUUCUACCCUAAUUGUCACAAUUAACAAGUAACCCUAAACUAAUCAAAUUAGGGUUUUAGGAAAUAUUACCUUUGAAGCUUUCAAAAACUUUGAUACCUCCUUAGCAAUUCAAACCGAGACGACCACUAGUGCUCAACUACUAUCCUCCGGACAAAGACCCGGGUUGUGGGACCCAAUUUGAUGUAGAAAGUAAUGGAGAUAAAAGAAACUUGGAAGGUAGAAGUUUUUUUUUCUUGGUUGAGAUAUUGGAGUAUAUUAAAAAAGGCAAAAGUUUUCAACCAUUUGAAAACUCCCCUAUUUAUAACCUAAUUAUCUGCAAAAAUGCAUGUAAUUAAUUUGCCAAAUCUCAACACUUAAUGUUCCACUAACAAUUAGUGGAACUUAGUGGACUAGGUGUCUAUAUCUCAUAUAGCCACAUAUCCCACUAAGAGUUAGUG
RNAcentral lists this long non-coding RNA (3662 nucleotides) under Cucumis sativus (cucumber). RNAcentral's name for it is "long non-coding RNA (CSAT_LNC002340)". The record is from RNAcentral. Lineage: Eukaryota; Viridiplantae; Streptophyta; Magnoliopsida; Cucurbitales; Cucurbitaceae.